GACGAACCGUGCGAACGUUGUUCGGAAUCAUUGGGCUUAAAGGGUGCGUAGGCUGGUUCUCAAGUCUGUGGUGAAAUCCCCCGGCUCAACCGGGGAACUGCCGUGGAUACUGGGGAUCUCGAGGGGUGUAGGGGCAUGUGGAACUCAGGGUGGAGCGGUGAAAUGCGUAGAUAUCCUGAGGAACGCCGGUGGCGAAAGCGACGUGCUGGACACCUUCUGACGCUGAGGCACGAAAGCCAGGGGAGCAAACGGG
RNAcentral lists this ribosomal RNA (253 nucleotides) under uncultured bacterium. RNAcentral's name for it is "partial 16S ribosomal RNA". It matches the Rfam family "Bacterial small subunit ribosomal RNA", at positions 524 to 776 of the family's 1533-position model. The record is from RNAcentral.